This 505-nucleotide ribosomal RNA is filed under the name uncultured Desulfobulbus sp. RNAcentral describes it as "bacterial SSU rRNA". It matches the Rfam family "Bacterial small subunit ribosomal RNA", at positions 903 to 1382 of the family's 1533-position model. Lineage: Bacteria; Pseudomonadati; Thermodesulfobacteriota; Desulfobulbia; Desulfobulbales; Desulfobulbaceae. The record is from RNAcentral.
CGUCCAGCCCGCUCAGAAACUCAAAGGAAUUGACGGGGCCCGCACAAGCGGUGGAGUAUGUGGUUUAAUUCGAUGCAACGCGAAGAACCUUACCUGGUCUUGACAUCCCGGAGACCCUUAGGAAACUAGGGGUGCUUCCAUCUGGAAGAAUCUGGAGACAGGUGCUGCAUGGCUGUCGUCAGCUCGUGUCGUGAGAUGUUGGGUUAAGUCCCGCAACGAGCGCAACCCUUGCCUUUAGUUGCCAGCAGUUCGGCUGGGCACUCUAAAGGGACUGCCGGUGUUAAACCGGAGGAAGGUGGGGAUGACGUCAAGUCCUCAUGGCCUUUAUGACCAGGGCUACACACGUACUACAAUGGCCGAUACAAAGGGCAGCGACACUGCGAGGUGAAGCCAAUCCCGUAAAAUCGGUCUCAGUCCGGAUUGGAGUCUGCAACUCGACUCCAUGAAGUUGGAAUCGCUAGUAAUCGUGGAUCAGCAUGCCACGGUGAAUACGUUCCCGGGCCUU